UAUACAAAUAAAAUAGAAAAAAUAGAAGUUUUAAAGUAAAAAAAAAAUCUAUACCUUCUACAGCUUCACAUCAUUCUGAAGCAUAUGUGUCACCUGAAUGACUGGAAUGGUAAUGGUCAAAUAUAAUAAUCAUCUUAAAGCUUCGUGUAUUUGCUUAUAAUGUUACAGUAAUAUUAUUGGAGAGUCUAUAUACAAUGAUAUUUGACAGAGACAACUUGCUCUUGAUUUCCUUAGUCACUACAUACAGCAUAUAAGGUUUGGCAUGUUUUACUGCGUAUAAACUGUAAAUGAGAAAUGCAUGUACUGUAUUUAAAUACAGGUCAUUAUUUAUAGUCCGUCUGAAAAGUGAAGUUUAUGUUGGUUACAGAUAGAAUUAUUGUGAUUCCCUCUAUUAAAAUGUAUUUGAUUGUAGCUUUCUAAUCUGAGAGCACUGAGACAUUGCACUGUUUUAUCACUCCACUUGUCUGGGUUUGCUGCAUACAAUUCUAGCAAUAGUUCAUUACACUGAAACAGUUGUUUCUCGUACUACAGGGUGUUAGUCAGUCUGUGUGUUGCAUAUCAACACAACACUUUAUCCAGCUGUGGUUUCUUUGGGAAUCUUUUCAGUGAUGGAGCAAAGCUAAUAAAAUCAUAAAAAAAAGAAAUAUAAUAAUAACUAAACAUUUGGCCAUAAUGUGUCUAAAGUGUCAGUUACUCAUUAUUAAUUUCUUGUUUAAAGAAUUGCCAUACUGUAAUAUCACAUUUGCAGUCAUGUACUGAAUAUGAGCUCACAGGCUGUGACUUCGACAUGACUAUGAUCGUAUCACCGCUGGGUUGCUCAUGUGAUCUUGCUUACUUAUACACAGCGCUGCUGAAUUCCUGAUUCUGACAGGAAGUUGUCACAGCUCUGACAGUAGGGUGAUAGUAGGUUUCUAUUAAUGUGCUUGUUCUGAUACAUACCGUUUCAGUUGCAGGUCUUGCACCUCUGUGGUUGGAUGUUUUAUUCCUGGCUGCACCUUGUGUAUGAAGUGCAGGUUCUUGUGCUUCAGAGGUUUCCUCUCGGUACUCGGUUUCCUCCCUCAAUGCAAAAAGGCAUGCGUUGUAACCUGCUUGUCAUCUCUAAAUUGUCUGUAAUGUGUGGGAUUUUGCCCUACGACUUCCUUGUGCCCUGAGUCACCAUGGAUAGACUCCAGGUUCCAAGUGACCCUGUGCAGGGUAAGUAACACAGAAAAUGUAACGCUUAUGGGUGGAUGGAUGACCAGCACUUGGAUUCGAUUCGAUUCAACUUUUUUGACAUUUCACAUGUACAGGUACAAAGCAACCAAAUUCAACUUGGCAUCUAACCAGAAGUGCAAUAAGCAGCAAGUGCAAGAUGUAAAGUAUUUUUAGUAUGAGUACAGUAUUUACAGUAUGAACAGCCAUAAUAUACGUGUGUGUGUGUGUGUGUGUGUGUGUGUGUGUGUGUGUGUGUGUGUGUGUGUGUGUGUGUGUGUGUGUGCGUGCGUGCGCCCUUGGAAAAAGCUGUUUCUCAGUCUGCUGUUUUUUGUCCGGAGGCUCCUGAGGCAUCUCCCGGAUGGAAGGGUUACAAACAGUCUAUGGGCAGGGUGAGAGGCGUCUUAAAGGAUGCUGCGAGCUUGAUGUCCUCAGUGGGGAAUGAUGAAUGAUAACAAAACAAAAUUGGUCUUUGUGGAAUUCAAGGUGUCGGCAACUCAAUACCCGUCAUCUCAUUUUCUCAGACUGCCUCUCAUGCUACACAUGUUCAGAGAUUUCUAGUCCAGUCUGCAGUCGCUAUUAUCAGUGGGCUUUUUUUUUUUUCAGUUCUUCAGAAUCAGGAUCCUUGAAACCUUCUCUGACUAUUUUUCCCCCCAGACUAAAUAGACUAUUUGUGCAGUCGUUCCAUUCUUCAGUAAACCUCUAUUAAUUACAGUAAUUCACAGGUGGCUGGGUCUGGCUGUAGAGCUUGGCAUCUGUACACUCAGAAGCAAACAUAAUUUCUGAAAGCCUUGGAUUGCCUGAAAAAUUCUGUGCUGACAAUUCUGCAGCAGCAGCACAGAUAUGUUUACCUGGAAAAAAAAAACUGAUUGAACUGGAUGGACUUAUCUCUUUUAUGGUCGUACUCAAGCCGGCGACCUUUUCUUUGCACACCGUCGGUGCUUUGGACUUUGAUGGUUUCAGGCAAAUAAGAUGAUGCUGAUCAACAUCUGAAUCUUUUCUUUUUUUAAACAUCCCAAGGUUAUAUCACACUCUUGCUGUCUUUUCUCGGUGGAGUUGUCUUUAGGACUCAGCAGGCAUUUCUGGAAGAGAACAAAGCUGUUCUUGCAAGCCAGCAUUUUCAUUCUGGUUCCCCUGAUCGUAUGAUUCAUUCCUCUGUAGCUGCAACAUCAAAUGCUCCUUACAGCCUUCACUAAUACUAUUAACAGCCUGAAGAAGAUAAUAGCGCAGUCUGGGGCUUCUUGAGUGAAGGUUGGACACUUGGUUUGGAUAUGGUUUGUAAUUUUGAUGUAAUAAGCAGUAUCAGCAUUUAGAAAUGCUGUCAACGUAUUUUAUGAUUAUUAUUUAAUAUUAUCAGUAGCUUCUGUGGUGAAAAGCAUAAGACAGCCAUGUGUUGUUGGGUGUUUUUUUUUUUUUUUGCAGUGCAGCAGCAGAAUACUACAAAAAUAAAAUUAUUCAACCCCAGUCAUGUCAUGAUCCUUCCAUGGCUCAGGGGUCCUUUAGAGGGCAUCUGUAAGGGAUUUACGGAUGAGGAUUCCUAAUCAGGGCCUUCCGAGAUGGUAGAAACCUCAGAACUUAAUUUUCAUUAAAGAACUACAGACAA
Molecule: long non-coding RNA, 2794 nt
Organism: Tachysurus fulvidraco (yellow catfish)
Lineage: Eukaryota; Metazoa; Chordata; Actinopteri; Siluriformes; Bagridae
Exons: 2
Source: RefSeq, a predicted model, not a curated record